AAAAGAUUUUAUCGGUGUGAGAUGGACCCGCGUCUGAUUAGCCAGUUGGCAGGGUAACGGCCUACCAAAGCGACGAUCAGUAGCCGGCCUGAGAGGGUGAACGGCCACAUUGGGACUGAGACACGGCCCAGACUCCUGCGGGAGGCAGCAGUGGGGAAUAUUGCACAAUGGGGGAAACCCUGAUGCAGCGACGCCGCGUGAGUGAAGAAGUAUUUCGGUAUGUAAAGCUCUAUCAGCAGGGAAGAAAAUGACGGUACCUGACUAAGAAGCCCCGGCUAACUACGUGCCAGCAGCCGCGGUAAUACGUAGGGGGCAAGCGUUAUCCGGAUUUACUGGGUGUAAAGGGAGCGUAGACGGUGAUGCAAGUCAGAAGUGAAAGCCCGGGGCUCAACUCCGGGACUGCUUUUGAAACUGUGUGACUGGAGUGCAGGAGAGGUAAGCGGAAUUCCUGGUGUAGCGGUGAAAUGCGUAGAUAUCAGGAGGAACACCAGUGGCGAAGGCGGCUUACUGGACUGUAACUGACGUUGAGGCUCGAAAGCGUGGGGAGCAAACAGGAUUAGAUACCCUGGUAGUCCACGCCGUAAACG
This 587-nucleotide ribosomal RNA is filed under the name uncultured bacterium. RNAcentral's name for it is "bacterial SSU rRNA". It matches the Rfam family "Bacterial small subunit ribosomal RNA", at positions 202 to 808 of the family's 1533-position model. The record is from RNAcentral.